AGUGAACGCUGGCGGUAGGCCUAACACAUGCAAGUCGAACGGCAGCACAGUAAGAGCUUGCUCUUACGGGUGGCGAGUGGCGGACGGGUGAGGAAUACAUCGGAAUCUACUUUUUCGUGGGGGAUAACGUAGGGAAACUUACGCUAAUACCGCAUACGACCUACGGGUGAAAGCAGGGGAUCUUCGGACCUUGCGCGAUUGAAUGAGCCGAUGUCGGAUUAGCUAGUUGGCGGGGUAAAGGUCCACCAAGGCGACGAUCCGUAGCUGGUCUGAGAGGAUGAUCAGCCACACUGGAACUGAGACACGGUCCAGACUCCUACGGGAGGCAGCAGUGGGGAAUAUUGGAUAAUGGGCGCAAGCCUGAUCCAGCCAUACCGCGUGGGUGAAGAAGGCCUUCGGGUUGUAAAGCCCUUUUGUUGGGAAAGAAAAGCAGCAGGUUAAUACCCCGCUGUUCUGACGGUACCCAAAGAAUAAGCACCGGCUAACUUCGUG
RNAcentral lists this ribosomal RNA (492 nucleotides) under uncultured bacterium. Its description in RNAcentral is "partial 16S ribosomal RNA". It matches the Rfam family "Bacterial small subunit ribosomal RNA", at positions 29 to 507 of the family's 1533-position model. The record is from RNAcentral.